Molecule: ribosomal RNA, 495 nt
Filed under: uncultured bacterium
Lineage: Bacteria
Description: bacterial SSU rRNA
Rfam family: Bacterial small subunit ribosomal RNA
Source: RNAcentral
AUGAACGCUAGCGACAGGCCUAACACAUGCAAGUCGAGGGGCAGCACAAGGAGCAAUCUGAGGUGGCGACCGGCGCACGGGUGAGUAACACGUAUGCAACCUGCCUGUAAGCGGGGAAUAACCCGUUGAAAGACGGACUAAUACCGCAUAAUACUAAAUUACUGCAUGGUAAUUUAUUUAAACAUUUAUGGCUUACAGAUGGGCAUGCGCAUGAUUAGCUAGUUGGAGAGGUAACGGCUCCCCAAGGCAACGAUCAUUAGGGGUUCUGAGAGGAAGGUCCCUCACACUGGUACUGAGACACGGACCAGACUCCUACGGGAGGCAGCAGUGAGGAAUAUUGGUCAAUGGACGAGAGUCUGAACCAGCCAAGUCGCGUGCAGGAAGAAUGUCCUAAUGGAUUGUAAACUGCUUUUGCAGGGGAAUAAAGUGCAUCACGUGUGAUGUUUUGUAUGUACUCUGCGAAUAAGGAUCGGCUAACUCCGUGCCAGCAGCUGC